UUUGAUGGCGACCGGCGCACGGGUGAGUAACACGUAUCCAACCUGCCGAUGACUCGGGGAUAGCCUUUCGAAAGAAAGAUUAAUACCCGAUGGCAUAGUUCUUCCGCAUGGUAGAACUAUUAAAGGAUUUCGGUCAUCGAUGGGGAUGCGUUCCAUUAGGUUGUUGGCGGGGUAACGGCCCACCAAGCCUUCGAUGGAUAGGGGUUCUGAGAGGAAGGUCCCCCACAUUGGGACUGAGACACGGUCCAA
This 249-nucleotide ribosomal RNA is filed under the name uncultured bacterium. RNAcentral describes it as "partial 16S ribosomal RNA". It matches the Rfam family "Bacterial small subunit ribosomal RNA", at positions 84 to 334 of the family's 1533-position model. The record is from RNAcentral.